UACAGAGGGGGCAAGCGUUGUUCGGAAUUAUUGGGCGUAAAGGGCGCGUAGGCGGUGCGGUAAGUCACUUGUGAAAUCUCUGGGCUCAACUCAGAGUCUGCAAGCGAAACUGCCGUGCUUGAGUGUCGGAGAGGUAAGUGGAAUUCCUGGUGUAGCGGUGAAAUGCGCAGAUAUCAGGAAGAACACCCGUGGCGAAAGCGGCUCUCUGGAACGGUACUGACGCUGAGACGCGAAAGCGUGGGGAGCGAACAGG
RNAcentral lists this ribosomal RNA (253 nucleotides) under uncultured bacterium. RNAcentral's name for it is "partial 16S ribosomal RNA". It matches the Rfam family "Bacterial small subunit ribosomal RNA", at positions 524 to 776 of the family's 1533-position model. The record is from RNAcentral.